This 223-nucleotide ribosomal RNA is filed under the name uncultured bacterium. RNAcentral describes it as "partial 16S ribosomal RNA". It matches the Rfam family "Bacterial small subunit ribosomal RNA", at positions 524 to 746 of the family's 1533-position model. The record is from RNAcentral.
GACAGAGGGUGCAAACGUUGUUCGGAAUUACUGGGCGUAAAGCGAGUGUAGGCGGUCUGCUAAGUCGGGUGUGAAAGCCCUGGGCUCAACCCAGGAAGUGCACUCGAAACUGGCAGGCUAGAGUACUGGAGAGGUUGGUGGAAUUCUCGGUGUAGAGGUGAAAUUCGUAGAUAUCGAGAGGAACACCGGUGGCGAAGGCGGCCAACUGGACAGAUACUGACGC